This 63-nucleotide transfer RNA is filed under the name Campylophyllopsis sommerfeltii. RNAcentral's name for it is "partial tRNA-Leu". The record is from RNAcentral. Lineage: Eukaryota; Viridiplantae; Streptophyta; Bryopsida; Hypnales; Hypnaceae. RNAcentral also lists the same sequence under 1 other name.
AUUUGAGCGUUAGAAAAUCCGUUGGCUUUAUUGACCGUGAGGGUUCAAGUCCCUCUACCCCCA